GUCCCUAUCUACUAUCUAGCGAAACCACAGCCAAGGGAACGGGCUUGGAAUAAUUAGCGGGGAAAGAAGACCCUUUUGAGCUUGACUCUAAUCUGGCAGUGUAAGGAGACAUAAGAGGUGUAGAAUAAGUGGGAGAUAUUAGACCUCGGUUUGGUAUCGUCAAUGAAAUACCACUACUCUUAUUGUUUCCUUACUUACUUGAUUAAAUGGAACGUGUAUCAUUUCCUAGCCAUUAUACGGAUAUAUUUAUUAUAUCUUAUGGUAUUGGGUUUUGAUGCAAGCUUCUUGAUCAAAGUAUCACGAGUUUGUUAUAUAAUCGCAAACAAAUUCUUUAAUAAAACGAUGCAUUUAUGUAUUUUUGAUUUGAAAAUUUGGUAUAACUCCAAUUACUCAGGUAUGAUCCAAUUCAAGGACAUUGCCAGGUAGGGAGUUUGACUGGGGCGGUACAUCUCUCAAAUAAUAACGGAGGUGUCCCAAGGCCAGCUCAGUGCGGACAGAAACCACACAUAGAGCAAAAGGGCAAAUGCUGACUUGAUCUCGGUGUUCAGUACACACAGGGACAGCAAAAGCUCGGCCUAUCGAUCCUUUUGGUUUAAAGAGUUUUUAACAAGAGGUGUCAGAAAAGUUACCAUAGGGAUAACUGGCUUGUGGCGGCCAAGCGUUCAUAGCGACGUCGCUUUUUGAUCCUUCGAUGUCGGCUCUUCCUAUCAUUGUGAAGCAAAAUUCACCAAGCGUUGGAUUGUUCACCCAUGCAAGGGAACGUGAGCUGGGUUUAGACCGUCGUGAGACAGGUUAGUUUUACUCUACUAAUGACAAAACGUUGUUGCGACAGCAUUCCUGCGUAGUACGAGAGGAACCGCAGGUACGGACCAAUGGCACAAUACUUUGUUCGAGCGAACAGUGGUAUGACGCUACGUCCGUUGGAUUAUGCCUGAACGCCUUCUAAGGUCGUAUCCGUGCUGGACUGCAAUGAUAAAUAAGGGGCAAUUUGCAUUGUAUGGCUUCUAAACCAUUUAAAGUUUAUAAUUUAUUUAUAAACGACAAUGGAUGUGAUGCCAAUGUAAUUUGUAACAUAGUAAAUUAGGAGGAUCUUCGAUCACCUGAUGCCGCGCUAGUUACAUAUAAAAGCAUUAUUUAAUACAAUGACAAAGCCUAGAAUCAAUUGUAAACGACUUUUGUAACAGGCAAGGUGUUGUAAGUGGUUGAGCAGCUGCCAUACUGCGAUCCACUGAAGCUUAUCCUUUGCUUGAUGAUUCGA
Molecule: non-coding RNA, 1258 nt
Filed under: Drosophila sechellia
Lineage: Eukaryota; Metazoa; Arthropoda; Insecta; Diptera; Drosophilidae
Description: Eukaryotic large subunit ribosomal RNA
Rfam family: Eukaryotic large subunit ribosomal RNA
Source: Rfam by way of RNAcentral